This 738-nucleotide ribosomal RNA is filed under the name Triticum aestivum (bread wheat). Its description in RNAcentral is "partial small subunit ribosomal RNA". The record is from RNAcentral. Lineage: Eukaryota; Viridiplantae; Streptophyta; Magnoliopsida; Poales; Poaceae.
AUGAAGUUUUGCUUGAGAUUCAUGAAUCUGAAAAAUUGUGAUGAAGAAAUUUAUGAAGUGAUUCAUGAUAGCACCUUGAAUGAAAAGCAUGAUCGCAAUAAUUUUACUAUAAAUUCUAUUAAUGUCAAUUGUGCUAAUAAUAUACAAAACCCCAAGCUUGGGGAUGCUUGUUUUGUUAUGUCUGCUACUUAUUACAAUGAUCAUGAUUGGGGUGAUAAUGUUUCUAAUGAUCUUGAAAAUUUAUUUAAGCCUCAUGAUGAAUAUGUUUGCGAUAAUAUUGAAAGUGGGUUUAGAAGAGUGUCAACUUUAUUUAAAAAUAAUCCCACAUAUUUGAAGAGUGUUCAAUCUUAUGAAUGUUUUGAUGAAAGUGGGUUUGGAGAGGUCAUGUUAUUUGAUGAUCCCACUAUUUUGGAAGAGUGUCAACUUUGCAUGCAUGUGAAUCAUAAAGAGAAAAAUUUAUAUGAUAGUUAUAUUAUUGAAUUUAAUUAUGAUCCUACAUAUAAUUAUUAUGAGAGAGGAAAAUAUGAUUGUAGAAAUUUUCAUGUUAUUAAAUUUCCUCUCGUUGUGUUGAGAUUGUCAAUGCUUUGUCCCUCUUCUUUGCAUAUGUUAGAUGUUUCCUGUCCUGAUAAUUUGUUUGCUUAUAAAAUUCCUAUGCAUAGUAAGUAUGUUAGACUUAAAUGUGUUUGUCAUAUGUUUCAUGAAGCUCUCUUUGUGUUUCAAUUCUUAUCUUUCAUGUGA